AAUACAGCCCUGACAGCAUCUUUUAUCUCUGCUUGGGAAUCCAGAAGUACCUGUUUGAGAACAAUCGGAUGGAGAACAUCUUCGCUGACGUCUUCUACACAAAAUUCUGCCAUGAACUGACCAACAUACUCAGACAGUGGAAACCAACUAUUUUGCCCAGUGGUUAUGUUCAUUCUCGUGUGGAGGAGGAGUAUCUGUGGGACUGUAAGCAGCUGGGGGCGUUUUCACCCGGUGUGCUGCUCAA
Molecule: long non-coding RNA, 244 nt
Organism: Sinocyclocheilus rhinocerous
Lineage: Eukaryota; Metazoa; Chordata; Actinopteri; Cypriniformes; Cyprinidae
Exons: 3
Source: RefSeq, a predicted model, not a curated record